RNAcentral lists this ribosomal RNA (468 nucleotides) under uncultured bacterium. RNAcentral describes it as "partial 16S ribosomal RNA". It matches the Rfam family "Bacterial small subunit ribosomal RNA", at positions 28 to 507 of the family's 1533-position model. The record is from RNAcentral.
GACGAACGCUGGCGGCGUGCUUAACACAUGCAAGUCGAACGGAAAGGCCCUGCUUGUGUGGGGUGCUCGAGUGGCGAACGGGUGAGUAACACGUGAGUAACCUGCCCUUGACUUUGGGAUAACUUCAGGAAACUGGGGCUAAUACCGGAUAGGAGCUCCUGCUGCGUGGUGGGGGGUGGAAAGUCGCGGCGGUUGGGGCUGGACUCGCGGGUUAUCAGCUUGUUGGUGGGGUAGGGGCUUACCAAGGCUUUGACGGGUAGCCGGCAUGAGAGGGUGACCGGCCACAUUGGGCCUGCGAUACGGCCCAGACUCCUACGGGAGGCAGCAGUGGGGAAUAUUGCACAAUGGGCGGAAGCCUGAGGCAGCAACGCCGCGUGCGGGAUGACGGCCUUCGGGUUGUAAACCGCUUUCGCCUGUGACGAAGCGUGAGUGACGGUAAUGGGUAAAGAAGCACCGGCUAACUACGUG